CGGACCAAGAUGGCGACCGCUGCUGCUCGAGACAGGGUCCCUUACACGGAGCUCAGCAUUCCAGCUCAACUGGCUGACAGCAAGCCCCUAGGAUCUGCCUGUCUCUGCUUCCCACUGUUGGGGAUUCAGGUGCAUGCAGCUGUACCAGGCAUUGAAAUGGAUGCUGGGGAAUCUUAAUUCUUAUUUUCGUAUAGUCCACACAUUUGCUGUGAAGACUAUGAAACUCCACCUUUGCCUCAUGCUGGAUCAUAUCUUCCACAGUGUGGCCAAGGCUACAGUUUUGUCCGAGUGAAUAUCUCUGAAAAAUUAAGAGAACUUCUCAGCCUGCUGGCAAUAGCAUGGAGCUGUGCCUCUCCUUCCAUCUUCCCUGGCAUCUUCUCACGGAAAAGCUUUCAUUUUAAUACAUGUGCUUAUUAAAGGAGACAAGAAGAAGAUCACAGCAGAGCCAGCUUUUUAGACUACACAGCAUGAGGUAGAAGCCACUCACUGCACCUCAACUUCAUAUUAACGUGUCACAGAACUUUUUCUCCAGGGUCUAUUGUUAUACCUGAGUUGCCACAUUUCUAAUCUGAAGAUUUUUGAUGACGAUUGCCAGAAACAGAGGAAAACGAGUAGUGGAUGCAAGCAGUGUGACAAAGUUAUUGACUUUAUUUUCUGAAGGGCUGUCUGUGAGGAUUGCUCCCUGGGUGUGCGGUAGAUGAGGACCACUUCCAUGUUGGCUAUGUCUGAGGCUUAAAAUCAUCAAACUGGGCAUCCUCUCUGUCUCAGAAUGAGAGAGCAAUGGGUUGUCCUAGUCUCAGCAUUAUUUGCACAGGGAGGGAAAGUGCUUCGGAAGGACUGUUGUCAGAGAUGUUUCUAAUACCCAGCACUAAGCCAAUGACUUUGGAAACUGGGUUCUAGGGACCCACGUGGAUCAUGUAAGUGAUAAUAGCAUCUGUUAUUGCUGCAUUUUAAUGAACAUGAUUUUAUUUUCUCACAUAAACCUGUGAUUAAGGCAGGCAUGGAUAAUGCCAGUUUACAGAUGAACCCAAACCAGAGAUAUGAGUUGUUUAGUGCUUCAGCCAACCUCAGUGAGGAGAGCCCUGAGAAGGCCUGGAUACCUGAGGGUUUCCGGGAGAUUGAGGACUCCAGCCUUUACAGAGCAUCAUGCGAGGUGGAGAGAGUCUAACUGUUAAAAUCCAUGCUCCACAUUCCAGAGAAAUGUUCACAAGUCGAGGCUCAUCCAGAUUCUCAAGAAAAAGGAUUUAGAUUCAGGACUUCUUUGUUGUUUCUGCUACUGGUUUAAUUAGAAAUAGAUGUGGCAAAUGCCAAGUGUUUUUAAAAAAACGGUAGCAGCAGAGCAAUGCCUGGUCUUAUGUUCCCCAUACCUGUACCCUUCCAGGUCUCGCCUCUCACACAGUGGUGUACAUAACUCUGAAUCUCUUAACAUGUCUCAAAGGUUAUUUCAUGUUUCUGUACAGAUACCACUCUUUACUAA
This is a long non-coding RNA of Mus musculus (house mouse), 1477 nucleotides long. RefSeq annotates it as predicted gene, 53964. The transcript has 2 exons. NCBI's taxonomy places the organism in Eukaryota, Metazoa, Chordata, Mammalia, Rodentia, Muridae. The record is from RefSeq and is a predicted model, not a curated record.